This 399-nucleotide ribosomal RNA is filed under the name uncultured bacterium. Its description in RNAcentral is "bacterial SSU rRNA". It matches the Rfam family "Bacterial small subunit ribosomal RNA", at positions 128 to 518 of the family's 1533-position model. The record is from RNAcentral.
UCCCCUUAGUAGGGCAUAGCCCGGUGAAAAUCGGGAUUAAUACCCUAGUGUUCUUCACAGUGGGCAUCUAACGUGAAGCAAAGGUUCACCGCUAAGGGAUGGGGAUGCGUCUGAUUAGGUAGUCGGCGGGGUAACGGCCCACCGAGCCAUCGAUCAGUAGGGGUUCUGAGAGGAAGGUCCCCCCACAUUGGAACUGAGACACGGUCCAAACUCCUACGGGAGGCAGCAGUGAGGAAUAUUGGUCAAUGGUCGAGAGACUGAACCAGCCAAGUAGCGUGCCAGGAUGACGGCCCUAGUGGGUUAGUAAACUGCUUUUAUGGCGGGGAUAAAGUCACCCACGUGUGGGUGUUUGCAGGUACCGCAUGAAUAAGGACCGGCUAAUUCCGUGCCAGCCGCAGC